GACGAACGCUGGCGGCGUGCUUAACACAUGCAAGUCGAACGAAGAGCGACGGAAGCUUGCUUCUAUCAAUCUUAGUGGCGAACGGGUGAGUAACGCGUAAUCAACCUGCCCUUCAGAGGGGGACAACAGUUGGAAACGACUGCUAAUACCGCAUACGAUCUAACCUCGGCAUCGAGGAUAGAUGAAAGGUGGCCUCUACAUGUAAGCUAUCACUGAAGGAGGGGAUUGCGUCUGAUUAGCUAGUUGGAGGGGUAACGGCCCACCAAGGCGACGAUCAGUAGCCGGUCUGAGAGGAUGAACGGCCACAUUGGGACUGAGACACGGCCCAGACUCCUACGGGAGGCAGCAGUGGGGAAUCUUCCGCAAUGGACGAAAGUCUGACGGAGCAACGCCGCGUGAGUGAUGACGGCCUUCGGGUUGUAAAGCUCUGUUAAUCGGGACGAAAGGCCUUCUUGCGAAUAGUGAGAAGGAUUGACGGUACCGGAAUAGAAAGCCACGGCUAACUACGUG
Molecule: ribosomal RNA, 510 nt
Filed under: uncultured bacterium
Lineage: Bacteria
Description: partial 16S ribosomal RNA
Rfam family: Bacterial small subunit ribosomal RNA
Source: RNAcentral